AGUGAACGCUGGCGGCGUGCCUAAUACAUGCAAGUCGAACGAUGAAGUCCUAGCUUGCUAGGAUGGAUUAGUGGCGCACGGGUGAGUAAUAUAUAGUUAAUCUGCCCUACACAGAGGAACAACAGUUGGAAACGACUGCUAAUACCUCAUACUCCUAUUUGACAUAAGUUAAAUAGGGAAAGUCUUUUCGGUGUAGGAUGAGACUAUAUCGUAUCAGCUAGUUGGUAAGGUAAUGGCUUACCAAGGCUAUGACGCGUAACUGGUCUGAGAGGAUGAUCAGUCACAUUGGAACUGAGACAAGGUCCAAACUCCUACGGGAAGCAGCAGUAAGGAAUAUUGCGCAAUGGGGGAAACCCUGACGCAGCAACGCCGCGUGGAGGAGGACACUUUUCGGAGCGUAAACUACUUUUAUAAGGAAAGAAUAAUGACGGUACCUGAUGAAUAAGCACCGGAUAACUCCGUG
Molecule: ribosomal RNA, 463 nt
Filed under: uncultured bacterium
Lineage: Bacteria
Description: partial 16S ribosomal RNA
Rfam family: Bacterial small subunit ribosomal RNA
Source: RNAcentral